CCUACGGGUGGCAGCAGUGGGGAAUAUUGGGCAAUGGGCGCAAGCCUGACCCAGCAACGCCGCGUGAAGGAAGAAGGCCCUCGGGUUGUAAAAUUCUUUUAACAGGGACGAAGAAAGUGACGGUACCUGUUGAAUAAGGCACGGUUAACUACGUGGCAGCAGCAGCGGUAAUACGGAGGUGGCAAGCGUUAUCCGGCUUUACUGGGUGUAAAGGGCGUGUAGGUGGGAGAGCAAGUCCGACGUGAAAUUACAGGGCUCAACCCUGGAACUGCGUUGGAAACUGUUCUUCUUGAGUGAUGGAGAGGCAGGCGGAAUUCCGUGUGUAGCGGUGAAAUGCGUAGAUAUACGGAGGAACACCAGUGGCGAAGGCGGCCUGCUGGACAUUAACUGACGCUGAGGCGCGAAAGCGUGGGGAGCAAACAGGAUUAGAUACCCCAGUAGUC
RNAcentral lists this ribosomal RNA (443 nucleotides) under uncultured bacterium. RNAcentral's name for it is "partial 16S ribosomal RNA". It matches the Rfam family "Bacterial small subunit ribosomal RNA", at positions 338 to 795 of the family's 1533-position model. The record is from RNAcentral.